RNAcentral lists this long non-coding RNA (19727 nucleotides) under Hordeum vulgare. RNAcentral describes it as "long non-coding RNA (HVUL_LNC003082)". The record is from RNAcentral. Lineage: Eukaryota; Viridiplantae; Streptophyta; Magnoliopsida; Poales; Poaceae.
AAGGCACUAGGGUGGCCCCACAAGUCCUUAGUGGGCUGGUGGAGUCAGCCCAAGGGGCCCAUGACGCCACAUAAGAAAAUACCACAGGAAAAUAAAAGAAAAAAGGAAAGAGGGAGGUAGGAAGGAAGAGGAGGACUCAUCCUUCCUAAACCGAAUUGGAGGAGGAGUCCUCCUCCUCCCCUUGGCCGGCGCACCUUGAGGGCUUGUCCCUCAAGGCUAGCCCUCCCCCUCCCUCCUAUAUAUAGUGGUGUUUUAGGGCUGAUUUGAGAUAACUUUUGCCACGUGCAACUUAACCCUAGACCACAUAGUUCUACCUCUAGAUCGGAUUUCUGCGGAGCUCGGGCGGAGCCCUGCAGCAGUAGAUCAUCACCACCACCGGAGCGCCGUCACGUUGUCGGAGAACUCAUCUACUUCUCCGUCUUGCUUGCUGGAUCAAGAAGGCCGAGAUCAUCGUCGAGCUGUACGUCUGUUGAACGCGGAGGUGCCGUCCGUUCGGCGCUAGAUUGGAAUGGAUCAUGGAACGGAUCGCGGGACGGUUCGAGGGACGUGAAGANNNNNNNNNNNNNNNNNNNNNNNNNNNNNNNNNNNNNNNNNNNNNNNNNNNNNNNNNNNNNNNNNNNNNNNNNNNNNNNNNNNNNNNNNNNNNNNNNNNNUUAUAUGAUCUCAUGGUCAUAGGAAUAAAUACUUGACACGCAGAAAACAGUAGCAACAAAAUAACACGGUUAACAUGCUACGUCUAUUAGUUUGGGUCUAGUCCAUCACGUGAUUCUCCCAAUGACGUGAUCCAGUUAUCAAGCAACAACACCUUGUUCAUAAUCAGAAGACACUGACUAUCAUCGAUCAACUGGCUAGCCAACUAGAGGCAUGCUAGGGACGGUGUUUUGUCUAUGUAUCCACACAUGUAAAUGAGUCUUCAUUCAAUACAAUUAUAGCAUGGAUAAUAAACUAUUAUCUUGAUACAGGAAUUAUAAUAAUAACUAUACAUUUAUUAUUGCCUCUAGGGCAUAAUUCCAACAGUCUCCCACUUGCACUAGAGUCAAUAAUCUAGCCCUCACAUCACCAUGUGAAUUACAUUGUAAUAAAUCUAACACCCAUACAGUUCUGGUGUUGAUCAUGUUUUGGCCGUGGAAGAGGUUUAGUCAGCGGGUCUGCUACAUUCAGAUCUGUGUGCACUUUGCAUAUAUUCACGUCCUCUCCCUCGACGUAGUCGCGGAUGAGGUUGAAGCGUCAUUUGAUGUGUCUGGUCUUCUUGUGAAACCGCGGUUCCUUUGCUAAGGCAAUGGCAGCAGUGUUGUCACAGAACAAGUUUAUUGGAUUCAGUGCGCUUGGCACCACUCCAAGAUCCGUCAUGAACUGCUUCAUCCAGACACCCUCCUUAGCCGCCUCCGAGGCAGCCAUGUACUCCGCUUCACAUGUAGAAUCUGCUACGACGCUUUUCUUGGAACUGCACCAGCUUACUGCACCCCCAUUAAGAAUAUAUAUGUAUCCGGUUUGCGACUUAGAGUCGUCCGGAUCUGUGUCAAAGCUUGCAUCGACGUAACCUUUUAUGGCGAGCUCUUCGUCACCUCCAUACACGAGAAACAUCUCCUUAGUCCUUUUCAGGUACUUCAGGAUAUUCUUGACCGCUGUCUAGUGAUCCACUCCUGGAUUACUCUGGAACCUACCUGCCAUACUUAUGGCCAGGCUAACAUCCGGUCUAGUGCACAGCAUCGCAUACAUGAUAGAACCUAUGGCCGAAGCAUAGGGGACGGAGUGCAUAUGCUCUCUAUCUUCAUCAGUUGCUGGGCACUGAGUCUUACUCAAUCUCGUACCUUGUAACACUGGCAAGAACCCUUUCUUGGACUGUUCCAUUUUGAACCUCUUCAAAACUUUAUCAAGGUAUGUGCUUUGUGAAAGUCCUAUCAGGCGCUUUGAUCUAUCCCUAUAGAUCUUAAUGCCUAGAAUGUAAGCAGCUUCUCCUAGGUCCUUCAUAGAGAAACUUUUAUUCAAGUAACCUUUUAUGCUCUCCAAAAGCUCUACGUUGUUUCCAAUCAGUAAUAUGUCAUCCACAUAUAAUAUUAGAAACGCCACAGAGCUCCCACUCACUUUCUUGUAAAUACAAGAUUCUCCAACCACUUGUAUAAACCCAAAUGCUUUGAUCACCUCAUCAAAGCGUUUGUUCCAACUCCGAGAUGCUUGCACCAGUCCAUAAAUGGAUCGCUGGAGCUUGCACACCUUGUCAGCAUUUUUAGGAUCGACAAAACCUUCGGGUUGCAUCAUAUACAACUCUUCCUUAAGGAAACCGUUAAGGAACGCCGUUUUGACAUCCAUCUGCCAGAUUUCAUAAUCGAAAAAUGCAGCUAUUGCUAACAUGAUUCUGACGGACUUAAGCAUCGCUACGGGUGAGAAAGUCUCAUCGUAGUCAACUCCUGGAACUUGUGAAAAACCCUUUGCCACAAGUCGAGCUUUAUAAACGGUCACAUUACCGUCAGCGUCCGUCUUCUUCUUAAAGAUCCAUUUGUUCUGAAUAGCCUUGCGGCCCUCAGGUAGUAUCUCCAAAGUCCACACUUUGUUCUCAUACAUGGAUCCUAUCUCGGAUUUCAUGGCUUCUAGCCAUUUGUUGGAAUCUGGGCCCACCAUUGCUUCUUCAUAAUUUGCAGGUUCACUGUUGUCUAACAACAUGAUUGAUAAGACGGGAUUACCGUACCACUCUGGAGCAGCGCGUGAUCUCGUCGACCUGCGUGGUUCAACAGAAACUUGAACUGGAGUUUCAUGAUCAUCAUCAUUAACUUCCUCCUCAACCGGCGUCGCAACGACAGAGGUCUCCCCUUGCCCUGCGCCACCAUCCAGAGGGAUGAGAGAUUCGACAACCUCGUCAAGUUCUAUCUGCCUCCCACUCAAUUCUCUCGAGAGAAACUCCUUCUCGAGAAAAGUUCCGUUCUUAGCAACAAACACUUUGCCCUCGGAUUUGAGAUAGAAGGUGUACCCAACUGUCUCUUUUGGGUAACCUAUGAAGACGCACCUUUCCGCUUUGGGUUCCAGCUUUUCAGGCUGAAGCUUUUUGACAUAAGCAUCACAUCCCCAAACUUUAAGAAACGACAACUUUGGCCUUUUGCCAUACCACAGUUCGUAUGGUGUCGUCUCAACGGAUUUCGAUGGUGCCCUAUUUAAAGUGAAUGCAGCUGUUUCUAAUGCAUAACCCCAAAAUGAUAACGGCAAAUCAGUAAGAGACAUCAUAGAUCGCACCAUCUCUAACAAAGUACGAUUACGACGUUCGGUAACACCAUUACGCUGUGGUGUUCCAGGCGGUGUUAACUGCGAAACAAUUCCACAUUGUCCUAAGUGAGUACCAAACUCGAAACUCAGAUAUUCACCCCCACGAUCAGACCGUAGGAACUUGAUCUUCUUGUUACGAUGAUUUUCCACUUCACUCUGAAAUUUCUUGAACUUUUCAAAUGUUUCAGACUUGUGCUUCAUCAAGUAGACAUAACCAUAUCUACUUAAAUCGUCAAUGAAGGUGAGAAAAUAACGAUAUCCGCCGCAUGCCUCCACGCUCAUUGGACCACACACAUCGGUGUGUAUGAUUUCCAACAAGUCACUUGCACGCUCCAUCGUUCCGGAGAACGGAGUCUUAGUCAUCUUGCCCAUGAGGCAUGGUUCGCACGUGUCAAGUGAAUCAAAGUCAAGUGACUCCAAAAGUCCAUCAGCAUGGAGUUUCUUCAUGCGCUUUACACCAAUAUGACCCAAGCGGCAGUGCCACAAAAAUAUGGCGCUAUCAUUGUUUACUCUAACUCUUUUGGUCUCAAUGUUAUGUAUAUGCGUAUCGCUAUCGAGAUUCAAUAUGAAAAAUCCUCUCACAUUCGGUGCAUGACCAUAAAAGAUGUUACUCAUAGAAAUAGAACAACCAUUAUUCUCUGACUUAAAAGAGUAACCGUCUCGCAAUAAACAAGAUCCAGAUAUAAUGUUCAUGCUCAACGCAGGCACUAAAUAACAAUGAUUUAAGUUCAUCACUAAUCCCGAUGGUAGUUGAAGUGACACUGUGCCGACGGCGAUUGCAUCAACCUUGGAACCGUUUCCUACGCGCAUCGUCACUUCGUCUUUCGCCAGCCUUCGUCUAUUCCGCAGUUCCUGCUUCGAGUUGCAAAUGUGAGCAACAGAACCGGUAUCGAAUACCCAGGCACUACUACGAGAGCCGGUUAAGUACACAUCAAUAACAUGUAUAUCAAAUAUACCUGAUUUUUCUUUGCCCGCCUUCUUAUCUGCCAGAUACUUGGGGCAAUUGCGCUUCCAGUGACCCAUACCCUUGCAAUAGAAGCACUCUGUUUCAGGCUUAGGUCCAGCCUUGGGUUUCUUCGGCGGAUUGGCAACAGGCUUGCCGCUCUUCUUCGAAUUGCCCUUCUUGCCUUUGCCGUUUCUCUUGAAACUAGUGGUCUUGCUCACCAUCAACACUUGAUGCUCUUUACGGAGUUCAGACUCUGCGACUUUCAGCAUCGCAAACAACUCGCCGGGAGACUUGUUCAUCCCUUGCAUGUUGUAGUUCAACACAAAGCCUUUAUCGCUUGGCGGCAGUGAUUGAAGGAUUCUGUCAGUGAUAGCUUCUUGCGGGAGUUCAAUCCCUAGUUCAGGUAGACGGUUUGAGUACCCAGACAUUUUGAGCACAUGUUCACUGACAGACGAGUUUUCCUCCAUCUUGCAAGCAUAGAAUUUAUCGGAGGUCUCAUACCUCUCGAUCCGGGCGUUCUUCUGAAAGAUAAACUUCAACUCCUGGAACAUCUCAAAUGCUCCAUGACGCUCAAAGCGACGUUAAAGUCCCGGUUCUAAGCCAUACAAGACUGCACAUUGAACUAUUGAGUAGUCCUCCUUACGUGCUAACCAAGCGUUCUUAACAUCCUGAUCAGCCGUAGCGGGUGGUUCAUCUCCUAGCGCAGCAUUAAGGACAUAAUCCUUCUUUCCAGCUUGUAAGAUUAGCUUAAGAUUACGAGCCCAGUCUAAAAAGUUGCUUCCAUCAUCUUUCAACUUAGCUUUCUCUAGGAAUGUAUUAAAAUUCAGGAUGACACUUGCGUGAGCCAUGAUCUACAACACAAAUAUAUUCAAAGUGGACUUAGACUAUGUUCAAGAUAAUUAGAGUUCAACUUAAUCAAAUUAUAUGAUAAACUCCCACUCAAAAAGUACAUCUCUCUAGUCAUUUGAGUGGUUCAUGAUCCACUUACACUAUCCCAAGUCCGAUCAUCACGUGAGUUGAGUAUAGUUUCAGUGGUAAGCAUCCCUAUGCGAAUCAUAUCAACUAUAUGAUUUAUGAUCGACCUUUCGGUCUCAUGUGUUCCGAGGCCAUGUCUGCACAUGCUAGGCUCGUCAAGCUUAACCCGAGUGUUCCGCGUGCGCAACUGUUUUGCACCCGUUGUAUGUGAACGUUGAGUCUAUCACACCCGAUCAUCACGUGGUGUCUCGAAACGACGAACUGUAGCAACGGUGCACAGUCGGGGAGAACACAAUUUCGUCUUGAAAUUUUAGUGAGAGAUCACCUCAUAAUGCUACCGUCAUUCUAAGCAAAAUAAGGUGCAUAAAAGGAUUAACAUCACAUGCAAUUCAUAAGUGACAUGAUAUGGCCAUCAUCUCGUGCUUCUUGAUCUCCAUCACCAAAGCACCGGCACGAUCUUCUUGUCACCGGCGCCACACCAUGAUCAUCCAUCAAUGUGUUGCCAUCGUGGUUGUCGUGCUACUUAUGCUAUUACUACUAAAGCUACAUCCUAGCAAAAUAGUAAACGCAUCUGCAAGCACAUAUGUUAGUAUAAAGACAACCCUAUGGCUCCUGCCGGUUGCCGUACCAUCGACGUGCAAGUCGAUAUUUCUAUUACAACAUUAUCAUCUCAUACAUCCAAUAUAUCACAUCACAUCAUUGGCCAUAUCACAUCACAAUCAUACCCUGCAAAAACAAGUUAGACGUCCUCUAAUUUUGUUGUUGCAUGUUUUACGUGGUGACCAAGGGUAUCUAGUAGGAUCGCAUCUUACUUACGUAAACACCACAACGGAGAUAUAUGAGUUGCUAUUUAACCUCAUCCAAGGACCUCCUCGGUCAAAUCCGAUUCAACUAAAGUUGGAGAAACCGUCACUUGCCGGUCAUCUUUGAGCAAAGGGGGUUACUCGUAACGAUGAAACCAGUCUCUCGUAAGCGUACGAGUAAUGUCGGUCCAAGCCGCUUCAAUCCAACAAUACCGCGGAAUCAAGAAAAGACUAAGGAGGGCAGCAAAACGCACAUCACCGCCCACAAAACCUUUUGUGUUCUACUCGAGAAGACAUCUACGCAUGAACCUAGCUCAUGAUGCCACUGUUGGGAAACGUCGCAUGGGAAACAGAAAUUUUCCUACGCGCACGAAGACCUAUCAUGGUGAUGUCCAUCUACGAGAGGGGAUGAGUGAUCUACGUACCCUUGUAGAUCGUACAACAGAAGCGUUAGAGAACGCGGUUGAUGUAGUGGAACGUCCUCACGUCCCUCGAUCCGCCCCGCGAACAAUCCCGCGAUCAGUCCCACGAUCUAGUACCGAACGGACGGCACCUCCGCGUUCAGCACACGUACAGCUCGACGAUGAUCUCGGCCUUCUUGAUCCAGCAAGAGAGACGGAGAGGUAGAAGAGUUCUCCGGCAGCGUGACGGAGCUCCCGAGGUUGGUGAUGAUCUCGUCUCAGCAGGGCUCCGCCCGAGCUCCGCAGAAACGCGAUCUAGAGGAAAAACUAUGGAGGUAUGUGGUCGGGCAGCCGUGAGAAAGUCGUCUCAAAUCUGCCCUAAAAGCCCCAUAUAUAUAGGAGGAGGGAGGGGGACCUUGCCUUGGGGUCCAAGGGACUCCCAAGGGGUCGGCCGAGCCAAGGGGGGGAGGACUCCCCCCCCCCAAACCGAGUUGGACUUGGUUUGGUGGGAGGAGUCCCCCUUCCUUCCCACUUCUUCCCUCUUUUUUUUCUUUUCCUUUGAUUUUCUUUCUCUUGGCGCAUAGGCCCCUUUGGGGCUGUCCCACCAGCCCACUAAGGGCUGGUGUGUCUCCCCAAAGCCUAUGGGCUUCCCCGGGGUGGGUUGCCCCCCCCCCCCGGUGAACUCCCGGAACCCAUUCGUCAUUCCCGGUACAUUCCCGGUAACUCCGAAAACCUUCCGGUAAUCAAAUGAGGUCAUCCUAUAUAUCAAUCUUCGUUUCCGGACCAUUCCGGAAACCCUCGUGACGUCCGUGAUCUCAUCCGGGACUCCGAACAACAUUCGGUAACCAACCAUAUAACUCAAAUACGCAUAAAACAACGUCGAACCUUAAGUGUGCAGACCCUGCGGGUUCGAGAACUAUGUAGACAUGACCCGAGAGACUCCUCGGCCAAUAUCCAAUAGCGGGACCUGGAUGCCCAUAUUGGAUCCUACAUAUUCUACGAAGAUCUUAUCGUUUGAACCUCAGUGCCAAGGAUUCGUAUAAUCCCGUAUGUCAUUCCCUUUGUCCUUCGGUAUGUUACUUGCCCGAGAUUCGAUCGUCAGUAUCCGUAUACCUAUUUCAAUCUCGUUUACCGGCAAGUCUCUUUACUCGUUCCGUAAUACAAGAUCCCGCAACUUACACUAAGUUACAUUGCUUGCAAGGCUUGUGUGUGAUGUUGUAUUACCGAGUGGGCCCCGAGAUACCUCUCCGUCAUACGGAGUGACAAAUCCCAGUCUUGAUCCAUACUAACUCAACUAACACCUUCGGAGAUACCUGUAGAGCAUCUUUAUAGUCACCCAGUUACGUUGCGACGUUUGAUACACACAAAGCAUUCCUCCGGUGUCAGUGAGUUAUAUGAUCUCAUGGUCAUAGGAAUAAAUACUUGACACGCAGAAAACAGUAGCAACAAAAUAACACGGUCAACAUGCUACGUCUAUUAGUUUGGGUCUAGUCCAUCACGUGAUUCUCCCAAUGACGUGAUCCAGUUAUCAAGCAACAACACCUUGUUCAUAAUCAGAAGACACUGACUAUCAUCGAUCAACUGGCUAGCCAACUAGAGGCAUGCUAGGGACGGUGUUUUGUCUAUGUAUCCACACAUGUAAAUGAGUCUUCAUUCAAUACAAUUAUAGCAUGGAUAAUAAACUAUUAUCUUGAUACAGGAAUUAUAAUAAUAACUAUACAUUUAUUAUUGCCUCUAGGGCAUAAUUCCAACAGAACCUGUGAUGAGGAAGACAUAAAAGCGACAGACUGCAUAAUAAAGUUCUUUAUCACAGGAGGCAAUAUAAAGUGACGUUCCUCCGCACUAAGAGGACACGCAUCCAAACCUCAAAAGUGCAUGACAACCUGUGCUUCCCUCUGCGAAGGGCCUAUCUUGUACCUUUACUUUUUGCCCUUGGAAGAGUCAUGGUGAUCUUCACCAAUUCCUUAUUUUACCUUUGUCUUGGCUACCGUCACAUGCUAGUGAAAGAUCUAUAUUCAUAUAUCAACUAGGAGAUGAGUACGUAUGCUUUGUUAUUGUUGACUUUACCCUUGAGGUAAAUGGUUGGGAGGCAAAACUAUAAGCCCCUAUUUUUCUCUGUGUCCAGCUGAAACUUUGAUACCAUGAGUACCACGUGAGUUGUAACAAUUGUGGAAAACAAAAGAGAUGAUUUAGUAUGUGGGUUUGCUUUACAAGCUAUUAUUUGACUCUUUCUGCUGUUAUGAUAAAUUGCAAUUGCUUCAAUGACUAUGGACUGUUGUUGGCUAUUUCUGGUAAGGUUUUUGUUUCAUGCUUUGCUUUGUGAGGGAAUUGUUACAUUCCCAUAAGAAUCUUUAUGAUGUAUUGAUGUUCUAUGUGUGAUCAUGAUGCCCUCAUGUUCGUGUUAUGUUUUAAUGACACCUUCAUCCCUAAACAUGCGGACAUGUUUAUGGAUCUUGGUUUUCGCUUGAGGACAAGCGAGGUCUAAGCUUGGGGGACUUGAUACGUCCAUUUUGCAUCAUGCUUUCAUGUUGAUAUUUAUCGCUUUAUGGACUGUUAUAUUACUUUGUGGUACCAUACUUAUGCCUUUUCUCUCUUAAUUUGAAAGGUUUAUUUGAAGAGGGAGAAUACCGGCAGCUGGAAUUCUGGACUGAAAAAGGAGCAACUCUGAGUCCUCUAUUCUGCGCAACUCCAGAUGCCCUGAAAAUCAACGUGGAAUUUUUUGGGAAUAUAUAAAAAAUAGUGGGCGAAAGAAGUGCCAGGAGCCCACAAGCCUGGUAGCCGCCACCUACCCCCUGGCGGAGGCUACAGGGCUUGUGGGCACCCUCGUGGCCCACUGGCUCCCCUCUUUUGCUAUAUGAAGGGUUUUGUCCAAGAAAAAAUCAGGGUGGAGCUUUUUCAUGGAUUCUCCGCCGCCACGAGGCGGAACUUGAGCAGAACCAAUCUAGAGCUCCGGCAGGAUGACCCUGCCGGGGAAACUUCCCUCCCGGAGGGGGAAAUCGUCGCCAUCGUCAUCACCAACACUCCUCUCGUCGGAGGGGAGUCAUCUCCAUCAACAUCUUCAUCAGCACCAUCUCCUCUCCAAACCCUAGUUCAUCUCUUGUAACCAAUCUCUGUCUCGCGACUCCGAUUGGUACUUGUAAGGUUGCUAGUAGUGUUGAUUACUCUUUGUAGUUGAUGCUAGUUGGAUUACUUGGUGGAAGAGUUUAUGUUCAGAUCCUUGAUGCUACUCAUUACACCUCUGAUCAUGAUUAUGAUUAUGCUUUGUGAGUAGUUACUUUUGUUCCUGAGGACAUGGGAUAAGUCGUGCUAAUAAUAGUCAUGUGAAUUUGGUAUUCGUUCGGUAUUUUGAUAUGUUGUAUGUUCUCUUUUCCUCUAGUGGUGUUAUGUGAACGUCGACUACAUAACACUUCACCAUAUUUGGGCCUAGAGGAAGGCAUUGGGGAGUAGUAAGUCGAUGAUGGGUUGCUAGAGUGACAGAAGCUUAAACCCGAGUAUAUGCGUUGCUUCGUAAGGGGCUGAUUUAGAUCCACUAGUUUAAUGCUAUGGUUAAACGUUGUCUUAAUUCUUCUUUCGUAGUUGCGGACGCUUGCGAGAGGGGUUAAUCAUAAGUGGGAUGCUUGUCCAAGUAAGGUCAGUACCCAAGCGCCGGUCCACCCACAUAUCAAACUAUCAAAGUAACGAACGCGAAUCACAUGAACAUGAUGAAACUAGCAUGACAUAAAUUCCCGUGUGUCCUCGGGAGCAUUUUUACUCGUAUAAGACUUUGUUCAGGCUUGUCCCUUGCUACAAAAGGGAUUGGACCACUUUGCUGCACAGUUGCUACUAUUUGUUACUUGUUACUUUUCACUUGCUACGUUUCACCUCACUACACCAUCACUUGUUACCGCUACUUUCAGUGCUUGCAGUUAUUACCUUGCUGAAAACCGUUUAUCAAAGCCUUCCGCUCCUCGUUGGGUUCGACACUCUUACUUAUCGAAAGGACUACGAUUGAUCCCCUAUACUUGUGGGUCAUCAUUCGAUCAAAGAAUUGAAGGAUAAAGAAGACAACACUUAGAUCCUACGCGUUAUGCCUAGCUAGGGGCGUAAAACGAUAGCGCUUGCUGGGAGGCAACCCAACUUGUACCUUUUUGCUUUUUGGUCUUCUUGAUGUUUUCAAUAAAAUACACAAUUAUAACUCUGUUUAGAUGUAUUUUUAUGGUUUAAAUUAGUGUUUGUGCCAAGCAAGGCCUUUGGGGUGAUUUGGGUGAGAGUUGAUUUGAUCUUGCUGAAAAAUAGAAACUUUUGCGCUCACGAAAUUAUUUUUCAUUUUUAACAGGAGAGCGCUUUUGAGUUGAUUCUUUUUGCAGAACAUUAAUAAAGAAAUUAUUCACGACGUCCUAAGUUUUCAUAAUUUGUGGAGUUACAAAAGUAUUCGAAGUUGUUAGAUUGCUACAGACUGUUCUGUUUUUGACAAAUUCUGUUUUCUUUACGUUGUGCGCUUGUUUUGAUGAUUCUAUGGUUUUCUUUGAUGAGUUUUUGCCAUAGAAAAGUUGAAAUACAGUAGAUAUAAUGCAAAAAUAAAAUAUGAAGAGAUUUUCAACAGUACUUAUAGUAGUGGUUUGCUUUCUUAUACUAACGGAUCUCACGAAGGUUUUGUUUAGUUUUGUGUGAUUGAAGUUUUCAAGUUUUGGGUGAUCUUACGAUGGAUGAAGGAAUAAGGAUUAUCAAAAGGCUAAGCUUGGGGAUGCCCGAGGCAACCCAAGAUAAUAUUCAAGAAGUAGCAAGCAACUAAGCUUGGGGAUGCCCCCGAGUGGCAUCCCCUCUUUCUUCUAACAACCAUCAGUAUUUUACUUGAAACUAUAUUUUUAUUCGUCACAUAUUAUGAGUUUUGCUUGGAGAGUCUUGUAUGAUAUGAGUCUUUGCUUGUUUUUCUUUUUGUUUUAAGUCUUGAAUCCUUGCUGGAAAAACCUUUAUCAGAGAGCCAAAAAUUAUGCUAUGCUUGCUCCUAUGCUUCACUUAAACUUUUAGAGCCAUGGAUUUGCUCUAGUACUUCACUUAUAUAUUUUUAGCACGGUGUGAUUUGUUAUUUUUGAAGAAAUGCUCUCAUGCUUCACUUAGAUUUAUUUGGGAGUUAGUAAUUUUUUAAAGAAAUUCUCUCUUGCUUCACUUAGAUUAUUUUGAGAGAAAGAAAAAUUAUGCUCUUGUUCUUCACUUAUAUUUGUUUGAGCUUAUUAAAAGUAACAUAUGAAAACAAUCCCAAAGUGAUAGAUAUCCAAGGAGGAUAUAAUAAAAAAAUUCAUGAAGAUUAUUGCACAAAAUAAACUUGAUUCCUAGUAAUGGUUUUGAGAUAUGACGAUAUGAUAUGUGAGUCAUGUUGAUGAGUAAUUGUGCUUUAGUAAGAAUAUUGAUGUUAAGGUUUGUGAUUCCCUAUGCAAGCACGAAAGUCAAUAGUUAUGCAAUGAAAUUUAUAUCCUACCUGUGGUGCAUUAUUCGGUGUUACUUAUGCUUAAUGCUUUGGUACGAGAUUAUUCGUUUCUUGGUUGGUCGCUUCUCAAUCUUUUUGCUAGCCUUCAUUUUGCACUAAGUAUGAUCACAACUUGUGCAUCCAAAACCCUUUAAGUCAGUUUUGCCAUAUGAGUCCACUAUACCUACCUAUAUGCGGUAUUUCCAUGCCGUUCUAAGCAAAUUUGCAUGUGCCAUCUCUAAUUUUCAAAAUAAUUUUCUCUUUUGUGUGCUCUACCGCUCGCGAGGCGGUGAGGGGUGGCCAAUAUUUUCCAUGCUAGAUGUGUUAUUCUCACGAUGAGUGUUUAUUCACUUGUCAUUGCACGAGAGUACGACAAAAGUAUUAGGGAUGCCCAGUCGCGAAAUGAAAAAAUGAAUUUACUUUUUGUUGUCAAAUAAUAAAUUUCUUGAAAAGUGUUGGUAUGGAGGGCACCCGUGGAUACGGACAAGCCAUGUAAUGUGAAAAUAAUGGUGGAAAAAGGAAUAAACUUUAUUUUCUGUUUGGGAACCGCCUAUGAUGUAUCUAGCAUGGGAAGUGCUGGGAGCUCUAAGUCGUUUUCGUUGGUGGGAAAAGUAUGCCUCCCAAAAUGCUUUUAUCUCUCAAUUUUUGCUUUGAUCUCUCGCACCUCUACAAAUCCCUACUUUCCUUUGCGAAGGGCCUUUUUUUUACUUAUGAAAUUUUUAUUUUGAAUUUUAGUCUCGAUCUUCUCUCAUAAAGCACCAACUAAGGGGCACUAUGAUCGUAUUUGAGCAUUGGGUGUAGCUAAUAUUCGAGUGUGUUUCAUGAAUGGAUCAAUGUCUGAGCAUAAUGGGCUAGGGAUAACUUGCUUUAGUAUUCAUAUUUUGAAAGACAUGUUUGCUUGUUGGUAUGCUUGAGUAUUAAAAGUCUUCAUGACAAAACUAGACUAUUGCUUUGAACCAUAUAAAAUUCCAAAUGUCCAUGCUAUAAAGAAAAGAAAUGUGAUGAACAAGUUAGGCAGCAUUCCACAUCAAAAAUUCUGUUUUUAUCAUUUACCUACUCAAGGAUGAGCAGGAAUUAAGCUUGGGGAUGCUGAUACAUCUCCAACGUAUCUAUAAUUUUUUAUUGUUCCAUGUUGUUAUAUUAUCAUUUUUGGAUGUUUUACAAUCAUUUUAUAGUCAUUCUACAUCGUUUUUUAGUACUAACCUAUUGACAUAGUGCCCAGUGCCAGUUGAUUUUUUCUGCAUUUUUUUACAUCGCAGAAAAUCAAUACCAAACGGAGUCCAAACACAGUGAAACUUUUUGUGGACUUUUUGGGCCUGAAGACAUCCAAUGGGCCAAGAACGCACCUGAGGGGAGCACAAUCCACCAGGGCACGCCCCGGUGGGUUGUGCCCUCCUCGUUGGCUUCCCGCACCGCCUCUUUGCUCUAUAAAUAACCUAAUAUUCCAGAAACCCUAAUGGGGGCGAAAAUCAAUUCCAGUCGCCGCAGAGUCCAGAAACACCAAAUCCAAUCUAAACACCAUCACGGAGGGGUUCAUCAUGUCCAUUGGCGCCUCUCUGACGAUGCGUGAGUAGUUCUUUGUAGACCCGCGGGUCCGUAGUUAGUAGCUAGAUGGCUUCCUCUCUCUCUCUUGAUUAUCAAUACAGUGGUCACUUGGAGAUCCAUAUAUUGUAAGUCUUUUUCCGGUGUGUUUGUUGGGAUCCGAUGAACUUUGAGUUUAUGAUUAGAUCUAUGUUUUUAUCCAUGAAAGUUAUUUGAGUCUUCUUUGAUCUCUUAUAUGCGUGAUUGAUUAUAGCCUCGUAUUUCUAAUUUGAUAUUUGGGUUUUGUUUGGCCAACUUGAUCUAUUUAUCUUGCAAUGGAAAGAGGUGCUUUGUGAUGGGUUCGAUCUUACGGUGUUUGAUCCCAGUGACACAAAGGGAAACGACACGUAUGUAUUGUUGCUAUUAAGGAUAACAAGACGAGGACUAUUUCUACAUAAAUAGAUCUUGUCUACAUCAUGUCAUCGUUCUUAUUGCAUUAUUUUGUUUUUUCCACGAACUUAAUACACUAGAUGCAUGUUGGAUAGCGGUCAAUGUGUGGAGUAAUAGUAAUAGAUACAGGCAGGAGUCGGUCUAUUAAUCUUGGACGUGAUGCCUAUAUAAUGAUCAUUGCCUGGAUAUCGUCAUGAUUAUUUGAAGUUCUAUCAAUUGCCCAACAGUAAUUGUUUUCCCACCGUUUGUUAUUUUUUCUCGAGAGAAGCCACUAGUGAAACCUACGACCCCGGGUCUCUUUUCAUCAUAUUUGGCUUUGCGAUCUAUUUUCCUUUCCUUUUAUUUUAAGAUCUAUUAAAUCAAAAAUACAAAAAUACCUUGCUGCAAUUUAUUUGCUUACGCGAUCUAUUUAUCUUAUCUACCACUUUUACCUCAUUUUAUUUGUCUAUCUUGAGGCGGCGUAUCCGAAAGGGAUUGACAAUCCCUUUAACACGUCGGGUUGCGAGUAUUUGUUAUUUGUGUGCAGGUGUUGUUUACGUAGUGUGAGGAAGUUUCUCUACUAGUUCGAUAAUCUUGGUCUCUUCUCUGAAGAAAAUACCUACCAUCGCUAUACUGCGUCACCCCUUCUUUGUUGGGAAAAUACCGACAUAGCUCUAGCACACAUCACGAUGACUCGUACUACAAAGCUAGCCUCAAAACCAAGGACACAAGCAAGCACCUUGAUUGAUCUACAGUAGCGUACAUGCGUAGCUUUUUUUGUUUGAGCGGCCACAGACACACUUUUUCUGAGCGUGUAGCUGUACGUGAAUCGUGGUAGCUUUUCUUGUGCAUAUUGUUACAAAAAUACAAAUAAAACAAAUGAAGGGAGCUACAAACUGAUGAUGAAGUCAACUUAGAUAUAAGGUAUUAUCUUACAUUUAGAUGUGACAUAGUCGGACCUUAGCUUAAACUAUGUACAUGUCUUUUUGACGAAAAUGCCUUUUGAAGCUUGGCCUUCAUGGAGGCCGGUUUUUGAAAAACCUAAAAUUCAUCAAAAUUCAUAUUUUUAUAAUUAAAUAAAAUCUAAAAAAUAAAGAUAUACAUGAAGGCAUAACACACAUGUGUGUAAAUUUUUAAGGCGAAAUACGUUGAAAUGAGUGCUCUGCAAAAAAGACAAAGCCGAGUCUUUUUAACACAUGAUACUAUUUAUUCUUAAAGUCUAGAAAUUUUAUCUUUUUUGUAUGGGUCGCAUUUAAAGGUAUUUCAUCCUGAAUUUUUACAUACACAGAUAUCAUCCUUGUAUAGAUGGAUCUUUUUCAGAAUUUUUUAAAAUCAAAACGUCUCAAUUUUGAAUUUUUCAAAAAUAAAAAGGCUCCACCAAGCUCGGUCACCAAAACGUCAUAUUCUCUUUGAGUACUUGUUUUGGGAGCUGGCUUAUAAUCUUUUCUAAAGGAGCUCUUUUACGGUACCCUGGGUGAAAUAUCAGCCAUCCAAUCUUACUUAUCGAACGAUGACGAGUGAGUUAUACUGCUCAAUUUGAGAGAUGAAAUCGUGAACGGUAUAGCCUGCACUGCGCGGCUCGAGUCCUUCAGUAUAGACUUGGCGAGGGCAUUUUGGGAAGAAGAAAAAAACAGCCGCCCGCGAGGCCAGUUUGGCCCAUUCCACCCCAUCCCGUCCCUCCCAGUUCGCCUCCCAGUUCCCCACCACACUCACACUCGCUAGGGUUCCGGCCGCCGCCGUUGUGCGUUGCCCUUCCGCCCCCUACUCAUCGUAACCGCCGGCACCUCCCCCUCCUGCUCCCUCUCCUCGUCGUCGUCGCCACGCUGCGGGGAGCGGCGCCGGCCGCGGGCGUCGCGGAGUCGUGCGCUCACUAGGGUUUCGGCCACCACCGGCGUGUGUUGCCCUCCCUGCGCCGCACAGAUAGGGACCCAUGGCUCCUUCGGCUCGUCGCCGCCGGCACCUACUCCUCCUACUCUCGCUCCUCCUCCUCGCCGCCGCGCUGCGGGGAGCGGCGCCGGCCGCGGGCGUCGCGGAGUCGUGCGCUCACUAGGGUUUCGGCCACCACCGGCGUGUGUUGCCCUCCCUGCGCCGCACAGAUAGGGACCCAUGGCUCCUUCGGCUCGUCGCCGCCGGCACCUACUCCUCCUACUCUCGCUCCUCCUCCUCGCCGCCGCGCUGCGGGGAGCGGCGCCGGCCGCGGGCGUCGCGGAGUCGUGCGCUCACUAGGGUUUCGGCCACCACCGGCGUGUGUUGCCCUNUGCAGGGAGUUGCCUGAAUAUUCCUGGGGCUGGGGGAGUUCAGAAACAGUUUCGGGAAGAGAUGAUGGAUUGUGCAGUAGUAUUUGAUUGUGAUGCGUUCCUGUCAAAUGGUUUGCGGCCAGUCAGGAGCUCUAACAUGACGACUUCGAAGCUAUAUACAUCGCUCUUCAGUGAGUAUUGGCCAGACAUGGCUACCUCAGGUGCCCUAUAUCCUGAGUUUUCUUCUGAUUCCUGGAAUUGAUGCUACGCAAGUAAGUAAUUGUUGAUAUAAAUGUUUGCUCCUAAAUUAUGGUCAUUAGCAUUUGCAUUGUGAAAUGUGCAGAACACCAAACUCAGUAUCAUCUCACUUGUUUGAUCCGAUACUAUCUAGCCUUGCAUCCAACAAACAAGAAGUAAUAGUUAUACGAUCCUAGCUAACUUUAUUAUGUUACUUGAAAAGCAACUCAUGCUUGAUUCACUAAAAUUAUCCUUGAUUAAAUUGACGUCGUGCUAUUUGAAUAUUUAAUUUUGGAUAUAAUAGCAUAAAUAAAAUAGUAAUAUGCAACAUUUUCGGCUGCAAAAUGACAACUAAUUCCAGCAUUAUCCUUUGAUGAUGUUAAUCUUAAAUUAUGUGAUAUUCCUGCAGGUUGUCAGGAAGACUGAGGAUAUUGUGCAUGACAUUACCCCAGAAUCUGAAAGGUGGGGGUUCAGCUCACUAUCCAGUAAAACGUUUAAUGACUUAAAAUUCUUGUGGACCAUAGAUGGCGAACAUGUUUCAUGUAGGUACCUGCAGAAUUCACAUGAUUGUUACUGACAUGAAUUUUAUUUCUAGAUUAACACGAAGGAUUAACGCUGGUGUCUACUGCUCGGUCUUGGAAGCAACGUCUACUGCUCGUCCACUACGUAGGUUGGUCGUUUUUGGCACAGGAGGCCAUGAUGGCUGGCCGCCCUGCCUACCCUGUAGGAUUCCAGUCGACGCCAACAUUCAUGGCGUCUUGAUUUCCAUGUAAGUAGCUUCUCCCUAAUCCAUGCUGGUAAAGUCCCAGAGAACUAAUUAUUGUUUAAGUCGUGUACAUUUCUGCAGCAGGAAAGGAAAUGCACCCGAGAGGUUGUUGUUUCUUAAGCUUAGAUUAGUAAUACUAAGACCUGCCAUCCUUAUGCUUGACUCGUUGACUAGGCAAUCAGUAAUUGACCCAUUAAGUUUAGAAGUGUUUAAAUCUUGGUGCUCCAAAGUCCAAUGGUAGUGGGCCAACUGAAUUGUUCUGACUGAGAUCCAGGCCGGUUAAAUUGAGCCUUAUAUUCAUGGGAAGCUUAGGUAUUGGACCACCAAGCUGGUCAGAACUGAAAUCCAUUUCUGUUCCCCUCAUAAAUUUCCCCUAGAAGCAUAGAUUUUCAUCUUCUAACGACAACUGUAAGAAACACAAGCAUAAAUGCUAUCUAUAUGCGUCCAUGCAAUUACACGUGUAUUCAUUUCAACCGAUUCACAUAACAAACACAAAAUUCAUUGUAAAACUUUCUAAAGUUCAAUCCCAACAUAAAAAAUACGAGCAUAAAGUUUAAACAAAUAUUAAUCCUAAUUUUAUUGUGGAAAAAUAGCAAAUUCUAACAACUUUCAACUCUCUUCAUCCUUCAUUAAUGACUUUGACUAUCUUCUACUCCUCGUCGUUUCGCCGUCCUUUUGAGUUGAAUGUAGACUCCACUAGGAGGGCGCUGAGUUGUUUCCUGAACCUGGGGAUGUCAUCCUGCAUAAUAGGUUGAGUUAGUUUGACAAUUGGAUGUGCAUUCUCAAGUGCCGGCAAAAGUUGGGUACAUUUCAUGCAUGCACAUCAUGUGUAACUCAUCGGUGUCGGUAUGGACGGAAGGGGUGUUACAAUGCGAUCUUGCUACUCCAAUUCGUCAAACGGACCUAAAUUUUUUUCACGCUUCCUAAUGAACUUCACAAUAAGGCACGUCAAAUUUUUCUAUUUUCUGACGAUCCGUGUUUUUUCUGUGAAUUUGUAUGCAAAAACAGCCCAGAACUGAUGCCGGACGUGACGCAACGUGCGUUUGUUCUUCGAUUUCGUUGAAAUUUUGCGUGACACAAUUGGAUGUGCAUUCUCAAGUGCCGGCAAAAGUUGGAUACAUUUCAUGCACGCAUGCAUGCACAUCAUGUGUAACCCAUCGGUGUCGGUAUGGACAGAAGGGGUGUUACAAUGCGAUUUUGCUACUCCAAUUCGUCAAACGGACCUAAAUUUUUUUCACGCUUCCUAAUGAACUUCACAAUAAGGCACGUCAAAUUUUUCUAUUUUCUGACGAUCCGUGUUUUUUAUGUGAAUUUGUAUGCAAAAACAGCCAAGAACUGAUGCCGGACGUGACGCAACGUGCGUUUGUUCUUCGAUUUCUUUGAAAUUUUGCGUGACACAAUUGGAUGUGCAUUCUCAAGUGCCGGCAAAAGUUGGAUACAUUUCAUGCAUGCAUGCAUGCAAUGUAUCCAACUUUUGCCGGCACUUGAGAAUGCACAUCCAAUUGUGUCACGCAAAAUUUCAANNNNNNNNNNNNNNNNNNNNNNNNNNNNNNNNNNNNNNNNAAUUUUUUUCACGCUUCCUAAUGAACUUCACAAUAAGGCACGUUAAAUUUUUCUAUUUUCUGACGAUCCAUGUUUUUUCUGUGAAUUUGUAUGCAAAAACAGCCAAGAACUGAUGCCGGACGUGACGUUCGACAUGUAUUUUAGUGUUUUUACUUCAAAAAUACAUAAAAAAUAUAUAAAAUGCCAUAAAUCAAUGAAAUUUGGCGUCCAUUCUUUCCAGUAUGAUACAAUGUAUUAGUAUUAGUAUUAUUCUUUCCAGUAUGAUACAAUGUUUUGUCUGUAAUUCAGAUUUUUUUUAUAUGUUAAAAAUGGUAUUUUGGUAAUAAAAUUCCGAGCCUAGCAACCGCAAGUAAACAGCGCCUAGCAACCGCAAGUAAACAGAGAACACGUCCAGGAGUGAGGUUAACACGAAGCAAGACAACCGAGUUUUGUACCAUUUCCUUUCAACAUUUUUUAACAGCUGAUGUUGAGAUCAAAAAUCUUGAAUGACAAAAUGGCCCAGAAAAUAAAAACAUAACCAAAGAGCACAUAAUAGGGAAGGCAUAUCAUCAAAACAUCGGAUGAUGCCAAGCAAAACCAAAUCUUAGGUAGUGCUGCAUCUUCACAACAUCUUGUAAUGUCAAACCUGCCUGCUGCUGCUGCCUAAAGAGAGGAAUGGAACUGAUGCCUCCCUCGAAUCACACAAAGAUGGAUCCAGCUCCAGGUGCAUAACCACAACAGGAGAGCACAAGACCUUCAAAGACGGGUCCCCUCACCGCCCCAAACUUUCAGAAAACGUCAUGUAAACAACUGUUCGAAGGCUCGCAAAAAUGCAUAAUACAGCGGCGCACAUCACCAGAAUACUGAAUCUUCAGACCAAAAGUACAUUCGACAGAGACUGAACUAGCAUAAAAACGAAGCAACAGAAGAUGGCGGUCCGAGCACAGGACCCUACAGAAAGACGACUAGGCUAGCAACUUCGCCACUCGGAUCCAGGACAAUGACUCCAUUGGACUAGAGCCACCAUUUCUACCAGCAGCAGAGCCUGAAAGAGAGGGAGGGACUACCAAGGAGCUAAACUAACAGCAAACAUCCAUCAUCGAUCGGUGACACUGGCAAACAGAGAAGCAUCAAACGGCGACGUUCCAGAGACCACCCUCCCCCUGCUGCUG